CCUACGGGAGGCAGCAGUCGGGAAUCUUGCGCAAUGGGCGAAAGCCUGACGCAGCAACACCGUGUGAGUGAUGAAGGCCUUCGGGUCGUAAAGCUCUGUUGUUGGGGACGAAGGGCGAGGGGUUAAUAGCCCCGAGCUUGACGGUACCCUUCGAGGAAGCCCCGGCUAACUACGUGCCAGCAGCCGCGGUAAUACGUAGGGGGCGAGCGUUGUCCGGAAUUAUUGGGCGUAAAGAGCGUGUAGGCGGUUCGGUAAGUCUGCUGUGAAAACCCAGGGCUCAACCCUGGGCGUGCAGUGGAUACUGCCGGGCUAGAGGGUGGUAGAGGCGAGUGGAAUUCCCAGUGUAGCGGUGAAAUGCGCAGAUAUUGGGAGGAACACCAGUAGCGAAGGCGGCUCGCUGGGCCAUACCUGACGCUGAGACGCGAAAGCUAGGGGAGCGAACAGGAUUAGAUACCCUGGUAGUCCUAGCCGUAAACGAUGAACACUAGGUGUGGGCGGAGUCGAAUCUGUCUGUGCCGAAGCCAACGCGAUAAGUGUUCCGCCUGGGGAGUACGGCCGCAAGGCUAAAACUCAAAGGAAUUGACGGGGGCCCGCACAAGCAGCGGAGCAUGUUCUUUAAUUCGAUGCAACGCGAAGAACCUUAC
RNAcentral lists this ribosomal RNA (644 nucleotides) under uncultured Actinomycetes bacterium. Its description in RNAcentral is "bacterial SSU rRNA". It matches the Rfam family "Bacterial small subunit ribosomal RNA", at positions 338 to 974 of the family's 1533-position model. Lineage: Bacteria; Bacillati; Actinomycetota; Actinomycetes. The record is from RNAcentral.